RNAcentral lists this ribosomal RNA (466 nucleotides) under uncultured bacterium. RNAcentral describes it as "bacterial SSU rRNA". It matches the Rfam family "Bacterial small subunit ribosomal RNA", at positions 329 to 793 of the family's 1533-position model. The record is from RNAcentral.
GGCCAGACUCCUACGGGAGGCAGCAGUGAGGAAUAUUGGUCAAUGGGCGAGAGCCUGAACCAGCCAAGUCGCGUGAGGGAAGACGGUCCUAUGGAUUGUAAACCUCUUUUGCCGGGGAGCAAAAAGCGGUACGUGUACCGCAUCGAGAGUGCCCGGAGAAAAAGCAUCGGCUAACUCCGUGCCAGCAGCCGCGGUAAUACGGAGGAUGCGAGCGUUAUCCGGAUUUAUUGGGUUUAAAGGGUGCGUAGGCGGACAGUCAAGUCAGCGGUAAAAAUGCGGUGCUCAACGCCGUACAGCCGUUGAAACUGGCAGUCUUGAGUGGGCGAGAAGUAUGCGGAAUGCGUGGUGUAGCGGUGAAAUGCAUAGAUAUCACGCAGAACUCCGAUUGCGAAGGCAGCAUACCGGCGCUCAACUGACGCUCAUGCACGAAAGUGUGGGUAUCGAACAGGAUUAGAUACCCUUGUAC